This is a long non-coding RNA of Patella vulgata (common limpet), 386 nucleotides long. RefSeq lists it as uncharacterized. Lineage: Eukaryota; Metazoa; Mollusca; Gastropoda; Patellidae. The record is from RefSeq and is a predicted model, not a curated record. The transcript has 4 exons.
GUAAAAUACAACUAACUCACACACACACAAUUAAGGCACCCAGGUGUUUUUAAAAAUUGACUCAGCAGUGUGCAUUUAGCCAAGUAGGCUUAGUGAAGUUAGCAUCAACAGAGGGUUUUGAGAAAUAUAAUGGUCACAGAGAAUACAAGACUGCAGUCAUUGAUGUUAGCAUGUACUGCACAAAGAAAAACUGUUUCAAUAUUAGAUGCCAUAGCAGUCAAAAAAAAAUGGGAGAAGAAAGAGCUGAAGAAAGGAUGAUUACAGCAUCUAUGAUUUCUGAUAGGUGUUUUUGAAGGUUAACUACAUCGGAAAGAUCAAGACAGUUGGAAAGGGCUAUUCAUAUUAUGGAAACUUUUUCUCACAGAGCUUGAUAAUCAGGCAAAAUG